Molecule: ribosomal RNA, 253 nt
Filed under: uncultured bacterium
Lineage: Bacteria
Description: partial 16S ribosomal RNA
Rfam family: Bacterial small subunit ribosomal RNA
Source: RNAcentral
UACGAAGGGGGCUAGCGUUGUUCGGAAUUACUGGGCGUAAAGCGCACGUAGGCGGAUACUUAAGUCAGGGGUGAAAUCCCGGGGCUCAACCCCGGAACUGCCUUUGAUACUGGGUAUCUCGAGUCCGGAAGAGGUGAGUGGAAUUCCGAGUGUAGAGGUGAAAUUCGUAGAUAUUCGGAGGAGCACCAGUGGCGAAGGCGGCUCACUGGUCCGGUACUGACGCUGAGGUGCGAAAGCGUGGGGAGCGAUCCGG